CUGGGAAUUUUGCGCAAUGGGGGAAAUCCCUGACGCAGCAACGCCGCGUGGGUGAGGAAGGCCUUCGGGUCGUAAAGCCCUUUUAGCAGGGAAGAACAAGAUGACGGUACCUGCAGAAAAAGCACCGGCUAACUCCGUGCCAGCAGCCGCGGUAAUACGGAGGGUGCGAGCGUUAUUCGGAUUCACUGGGCGUAAAGGGCGCGUAGGCGGUUCGGUAAGUCUGAUGUGAAAUCCCUCGACCUAAUCGAGGAAGUGCAUUGGAUACUGCCAGACUAGAGUGCAGGAGAGGAAGAUGGAAUUCCCGGUGUAGAGGUGAAAUUCGUAGAUAUCGGGAGGAACAACAGUGGCGAAGGCGAUCUUCUGGACUGCAACUGACGCUGAGGCGCGAAAGCGUGGGUAGCAAACAGG
RNAcentral lists this ribosomal RNA (408 nucleotides) under uncultured bacterium. Its description in RNAcentral is "bacterial SSU rRNA". It matches the Rfam family "Bacterial small subunit ribosomal RNA", at positions 355 to 776 of the family's 1533-position model. The record is from RNAcentral.